Molecule: ribosomal RNA, 351 nt
Filed under: Canicola haemoglobinophilus
Lineage: Bacteria; Pseudomonadati; Pseudomonadota; Gammaproteobacteria; Pasteurellales; Pasteurellaceae
Description: bacterial SSU rRNA
Rfam family: Bacterial small subunit ribosomal RNA
Source: RNAcentral
AAAUUGAAGAGUUUGAUCAUGGCUCAGAUUGAACGCUGGCGGCAGGCUUAACACAUGCAAGUCGAACGGUAACAGGAGAAAGCUUGCUUUCUUGCUGACGAGUGGCGGACGGGUGAGUAAUGCUUGGGAAUCUGGCUUAUGGAGGGGGAUAACCAUUGGAAACGAUGGCUAAUACCGCGUAAUAUCGGAAGAUUAAAGACUGGGACUUUAGCCAGUUGCCAUAAGAUGAGCCCAAGUGGGAUUAGGUAGUUGGUGGGGUAAAGGCCUACCAAGCCUUCGAUCUCUAGCUGGUCUGAGAGGAUGACCAGCCACACUGGAACUGAGACACGGUCCAGACUCCUACGGGAGGCA